UACGAAGGGAGCUAGCGUUGUUCGGAAUCACUGGGCGUAAAGCGCACGUAGGCGGAUGUGUCAGUCAGGGGUGAAAUCCCGGAGCUCAACUUCGGAACUGCCUUUGAUACAGCACGUCUUGAGUCCGGAAGAGGUGGGUGGAAUUCCUAGUGUAGAGGUGAAAUUCGUGGAUAUUAGGAAGAACACCAGUGGCGAAGGCGGCUCACUGGUCCGGUACUGACGCUGAGGUGCGAAAGCGUGGGGAGCAAACAGG
This 253-nucleotide ribosomal RNA is filed under the name uncultured bacterium. RNAcentral's name for it is "partial 16S ribosomal RNA". It matches the Rfam family "Bacterial small subunit ribosomal RNA", at positions 524 to 776 of the family's 1533-position model. The record is from RNAcentral.